CAGUAGCCGCGGUAAUACGUAGGUGGCAAGCGUUGUCCGGAAUUAUUGGGCGUAAAGGGCUCGCAGGCGGUUUAUUAAGUCUGAUGUGAAAGCCCCCGGCUCAACCGGGGAGGGUCAUUGGAAACUGGGAAACUUGAGUGCAGAAGAGGAGAGUGGAAUUCCACGUGUAGCGGUGAAAUGCGUAGAGAUGUGGAGGAACACCAGUGGCGAAGGCGACUCUCUGGUCUGUAACUGACGCUGAGGAGCGAAAGCGUGGGGAGCGAACAGGAUUAGAUACCCGUGUAGUCCCUGUCUCUUAUAC
RNAcentral lists this ribosomal RNA (301 nucleotides) under uncultured bacterium. RNAcentral describes it as "partial 16S ribosomal RNA". It matches the Rfam family "Bacterial small subunit ribosomal RNA", at positions 509 to 807 of the family's 1533-position model. The record is from RNAcentral.